GUGGGUAGGGGUGAAAGGCCAAUCAAACUCCGUGAUAGCUGGUUCUCCCCGAAAUGCAUUUAGGUGCAGCGUUGCGUGGUCCCUGGUGGAGGUAGAGCUACUGGAUGGCCGAUGGGCCCUGUGGGUUACUGACGUCAGCCAAACUCCGAAUGCCAAUAGGGUAGAGCACGGCAGUGAGACUGCGGGGGAUAAGCUUCGUAGUCGAGAGGGAAACAGCCCAGAUCAUCAGCUAAGGCCCCUAAGCGUACGCUAAGUGGGAAAGGAUGUGGAGUCGCGGUGACAACCAGGAGGUUGGCUUAGAAGCAGCCAUCCUUGAAAGAGUGCGUAAUAGCUCACUGGUCAAGUGGUUCUGCGCCGACAAUGUAGCGGGGCUCAAGCGUACCGCCGAAGCUGUGGCAACAACACGUGAUACUGGCGCCAGGAACUGGAGUGCUGGUGUGUUGUUGGGUAGGGGAGCGUCCUGCACGAGGUGAAGCCUGGAGGGAACUUCUGGUGGAUUGUGUGGGAGUGAGAAUGCAGGCAUGAGUAACGAAUCUGCGGUGAGAAUCCGCAGCGCCGAUUGACUAAGGGUUCCAGGGCUAGGUUUAUCCGCCCUGGGUUAGUCGGGUCCUAAGGCGAGGCCGACAGGCGUAGUCGAUGGACAACCAGUUGAUAUUCUGGUACCGCGUUAUGACCGCCCAUGCUGAAGUCAUUGUGCUAACCAAUUUGCUCACGCCACUUGUAAGCCUUCGGGUUUGUGGGUGUGUGUGGGUCUUGGGGCCCCGGUGAUUGUAGGCAAGCGUGUUAACAGGGGUGACGCAGACAGGUAGCUGCAGUGCGCCGAUGGUUGUGCGUAUUUAAGGUUGUGGCCCGCCUCCCAGGCAAAUCCGGGGGGCAUGUGGGUGAGAACUGAUGAGGGACACACGCGUGUGUGGACUUGUGGUGAUCCUAAGCUGCCGAGAAAAGCCUCGACGUGAGGGCAUAACGCGCCCGUACCCUAAACCGACUCAGGUGGUCAGGUAGAGUAUACCGAGGCGUUCGAGUGAAUCGUGGUUAAGGAACUCGGCAAAAUUCCUCCGUAACUUCGGGAUAAGGAGGACCCCGUGACUUCCCAGUGUCUUGCGUGCUGGUGGGGUUGUGGGGUCGCAGAGAAUAGGGAGAAGCGACUGUUUAUCAAAAACACAGGUGCGUGCGAAGCCGUAAGGCGAUGUAUACGCACUGACGCCUGCCCGGUGCUGGAAGGUUAAGAGGAACCGUCAACACUCCUUUGUGGGUGUGAAGCGGUGAAUUUAAGCCCCAGUAAACGGCGGUGGUAACUAUAACCAUCCUAAGGUAGCGAAAUUCCUUGUCGGGUAAGUUCCGACCUGCACGAAUGGCGUAACGACUUCUCCGCUGUCUCAACCGCGAACUCGGUGAAAUUGCAGUACGAGUAAAGAUGCUCGUUUCGCGCAGAAGGACGGAAAGACCCCGGGACCUUUACUAUAGCUUGGUAUUGGUGUUCGCUUGGACUUGUGUAGGAUAGGUGGGAGACUGUGAAGCUGCCGCGCCAGCGGUGGUGGAGUCGUCGUUGAAAUACCAUUCUGGUUCAAGCGGUCACCUCAACCUAGACCCGUGAUCCGGGUUGGGGACAGUGCCUGGUGGGUAGUUUAACUGGGGCGGUUGCCUCCUAAAAUGUAACGGAGGCGCUCAAAGGUUCCCUCAGCCUGGUUGGUAAUCAGGUGGCGAGUGCAAGUGUACAAGGGAGCUUGACUGUGAGACCGACGGGUCGAGCAGGUGCGAAAGCAGGAACUAGUGAUCCGGCCAUGGCACGUGGGUGCGUGGUCGCUCAACGGAUAAAAGGUACCCCGGGGAUAACAGGCUGAUCUUGCCCAAGAGUCCAUAUCGACGGCAUGGUUUGGCACCUCGAUGUCGGCUCGUCGCAUCCUGGGGCUGGAGUCGGUCCCAAGGGUUGGGCUGUUCGCCCAUUAAAGCGGUACGCGAGCUGGGUUCAGAACGUCGUGAGACAGUUCGGUCCCUAUCCUCUGUGCGCGCAGGAAACUUGAGAAGGGCCGUCCCUAGUACGAGAGGACCGGGAUGGACGAACCUCUGGUGUGCCAGUUGUACCGCCAGGUGCAUGGCUGGUUAGCUACGUUCGGAAGGGAUAACCGCUGAAAGCAUCUAAGCGGGAAGCCUGCU
RNAcentral lists this ribosomal RNA (2154 nucleotides) under human metagenome. RNAcentral's name for it is "bacterial LSU rRNA". It matches the Rfam family "Bacterial large subunit ribosomal RNA", at positions 811 to 2798 of the family's 2925-position model. The record is from RNAcentral.